GAGUCAUCGUUGGAGAUGAGCAGCUGACUUUGUUGCAGGUUUUUUUUGGAGCACAGAGUCCAGCACAUUUUGUGGAAGUCCUGACGGUCAAAGUCGUCUGACACCUGGAGCAAGCACAACAGCAGCUCAUUCUCUACACAUCAACAAUACCAGUCCUGUCUGUGCUGCCUUCACUGCCCUUCACUGCCACAUGGUCAUUAAGAUUCAGGAGCUUCACCAACGCUGUAUGAGGAGCAGCAGCAGCAGCAGCAGCAGCAGCAGCAGCAGCAGCAGCAGCUCUUAUUGAAACUCCACUGAGGUGAAACAAAUGAAACCUGACUUAUAACUACUCAGCUCGUCACCAGUCAAACAAGAGUCUCUGCGUAAACAAGGGGCUUGAGGCUGGUGAAUUACUUGUCACCAAUGAGCUGUUUUGAAGAAACAGUGAGUAGUGAUAAAGCAGUCUAAAAGGGCCUUCUAUAUUUUUCAUGUAUCAAAAUUGUUUUAAUUUUUUAUUUAAUUUUUAAAUUUAUAUCCCUCAGAUUACCUACUUCUCAUCAAAGCCAGUUUUUUUAAAACAAAAAAUGUACAAUAUAAAUCAAAUAUAUUUUUCUUUAACCACAACAAAUACCAUGGAAUUAACAAUAGCUACUACAGACCUACAGCAGACAUUGUUAAAGCAUCUUUUUAACCUGUUAAAUUUAUUUUAAUGUUAUAAAUUGUGAUAUAAAUUUUACAUCUAAGGAGUAAAUCUGAAAUGGAAAUGGUUUUAAACUGCUAAGCAGGAGAGGGUUUAGACACAACAUUAUAUUAAAUAAACAAUUAGAUGGCUCAAAACUGCAUUAAUUUGUGGUACGUGGUUUAGGAUUACAAGUGAACAAAGAACACGUAUUUGUUGUGUGUCUUUCUAAGACAAACACAGACAGAAACACACUCUCAGGACAUCUCAGGGUCACAGAGAAUCACUUAUGCCUGAGGAAUGCUGUGCACCAACAAACCACGAAGCGCUGAGUCCUUCUGAGUUUCAGCGUCAUGAUUGUCUCUACUGCAGAGUCAACAGUUGUCACAGUCAGUGUCAGGUUACUGAGCUGGACUGUUAUACAGUUACUGAACUGACACAGUUCAGACUGUAGGGUAAAAUGUUUUUGUUCACUGCCUGCAUUGUUACUAACAAAGGGUCAGUGAGGCCAGUGAGUUAGGACAGACACACGUCACAUAAAGACACCUCUGCCAUUGUUCACCUCUGAAGCCGAAUGUGGUGCUUAGUCAUUAGGUUGAUUCUCAUUUUUUUUAUAGUUGUCUGUGUGUGUCUUUGUGCUCUCAUCUGACCUUAAAAUGCAAAAUAUUACAAAUCUCACACACUGCGUUUAUAUGCACUACUGCACAUCUGUAAGGAGUGCAGCUUACUUCAAUUAUUAAUAUUAUUAUCAGUAUUAGCAGUAGUGGUAGUAGUAUUAGUAUUGUUAUUAUUAUCAUCAUCAUUAUUAUUAUUGCGUUUUAGCCCGUUAGCAAUAUGCAACAAAUCUGUACCUCCGUAAAGUGUUAAUUAUUUAUCGGAAAUUCUGAAAGUUUGACCGCUAGGACAACAAUGCAUCACUCAAAAUCUAUCCAAAAAAAGUUAAUUACUGAGAGGUCUGGAUAAAGCCCCAUAGGUGCACAAAUUUAAAUUAUUUUUUAAGUUAAAGUCUGGUUUCAAUAUGCACAUUAAAAUGAUCCAAACUACCAAAAUACGUAUUACAAAAGGUAGUUAAAAUACUCUCACUGUAAAAAAAAAAA
Cynoglossus semilaevis (tongue sole) is the source of this 1755-nucleotide long non-coding RNA. RefSeq lists it as uncharacterized. Lineage: Eukaryota; Metazoa; Chordata; Actinopteri; Pleuronectiformes; Cynoglossidae. The record is from RefSeq and is a predicted model, not a curated record. The transcript has 2 exons.